GCUUAGGGUGCGUAGGCUGAUGUGUAUGUGUGUCGUGAAAUCCCUCGGCUCAUCCGAGGAACUGCAAUGCCAACCACACAUCUUGAGUUAGGCAGAGGUUGUCGGAACGUUCGGUGGAGCGGUGAAAUGCGUAGAGAUCGAACGGAACGCCAAAGGGGUAGUCAGGCGACUGGGCCUAUACUGACGCUGAGGCACUAGAGCGUGGGGAGCGAACUGGAUUAGAUACCCUGGUAGUCCACGCCGUAAACGAUGUGAACUAUAUCGAUGGCGGUCUGACCCGCUGUCGGUCGCAGACAAAUUACUAACUGCACCUCCUGGGGAGUACUGUCGCAAGGCUACUACUCAAAGGAAUUGACGGGGGCUCACACAAUCGGUGGAGCAUGUUGCUUAUUUCUAAGCAACGCGAACAAUCUUACCAGGGUUUGACAUGCUCGGAUUACCUCUAUGAAAGUAGAGCUACGCUCGCAAGAGUGGAACGUGCACAGGUAGCUGCAUGGCUGUCGUCACGCUCGUGCUGUGAAGUGUCGGGGUAAGUCCCUUAACGAGCGCAUCCCUUGUCGCUAGUUGCCACAGAGUCAUGUCUGGGACUCUAGCUAGACUGCCGGUGUCAAACCGGAGGAAGGUGAGCAUGACGUCAAGUCAGCAUGUGCCUUAUGUCCUGAGAUGCCAACGUGCUACAAUGGCCUGUACUGAGCGAUG
This 699-nucleotide ribosomal RNA is filed under the name uncultured bacterium. RNAcentral describes it as "bacterial SSU rRNA". It matches the Rfam family "Bacterial small subunit ribosomal RNA", at positions 560 to 1249 of the family's 1533-position model. The record is from RNAcentral.